This is a non-coding RNA of Felis catus (domestic cat), 85 nucleotides long. The record is from Rfam. NCBI's taxonomy places the organism in Eukaryota, Metazoa, Chordata, Mammalia, Carnivora, Felidae.
GCCUGGGUGGCUCAGUCGGUUAAGCGUCUGACUUCAGCUCAGGUCACGAUCUCAUGGUCCGUGAGUUCGAGCCCCGCGUCGGGCU